UGCAGUCGAGCGGUAACAGAUCUAGCUUGCUAGAUGCUGACGAGCGGCGGACGGGUGAGUAACGCGUAGAAAACUGCCCAGUAGUGGGGGAUAGCCCAGAGAAAUUUGGAUUAAUACCGCAUACGCCCUACGGGGGAAAGGGGGCUUCGGCUCUCGCUAUUGGAUGUGUCUGCGUGGGAUUAGCUAGUUGGUGAGGUAAGGGCUCACCAAGGCGACGAUCUCUAGCUGUUCUGAGAGGAAGAUCAGCCACACUGGGACUGAGACACGGCCCAGACUCCUACGGGAGGCAGCAGUGGGGAAUAUUGCACAAUGGGGGAAACCCUGAUGCAGCCAUGCCGCGUGUGUGAAGAAGGCCUUCGGGUUGUAAAGCACUUUCAGUUGUGAGGAAAAGUUAGUAGUUAAUACCUGCUAGCCGUGACGUUAACAACAGAAGAAGCACCGGCUAACUCCGUGCCAGCAGCCGCGGUAAUACGGAGGGUGCGAGCGUUAAUCGGAAUUACUGGGCGUAAAGCGCACGCAGGCGGUUUGUUAAGCUAGAUGUGAAAGCCCCGGGCUCAACCUGGGACGGUCAUUUAGAACUGGCAGACUAGAGUCUUGGAGAGGGGAGUGGAAUUCCAGGUGUAGCGGUG
Molecule: ribosomal RNA, 629 nt
Filed under: uncultured bacterium
Lineage: Bacteria
Description: bacterial SSU rRNA
Rfam family: Bacterial small subunit ribosomal RNA
Source: RNAcentral